GGCUUCAUGCAUGCUAGGCAAGCACUCUACCACUAAGCCACAUUCCCAGCCCUAGAUAGUCACUUUUUUACUGUUUUUAGAUGUUUACUUUUUAGAAUGGGAAUCAGCUUGUCAUAUGAAUUGUUCUUUUCUUAUAGCUUUAGGCAGCAAAGGUUAAUAUUUUAAAUUAUUGCAUUGGAAAAAUUAAGACUGUAGCAUUGCCUUACUGUUGAAGCUUAAAUAACUAGCUUGUAAGUCAGGUAUGAUAGUGAAUCCCUGUAAUCUCAGUACUCAGGAGGAUUCCAAGUUUGGGGCCAAGCUGGGACCCAUAGUGAUACCCUAUCUCAUAAGACAAAACAGCUUCCACCUUCCAGAACUGACUUGUAAAUAGGAGGUUCUUCCAGGCUAGGAGAUGGCCCUCUAAGCUUUCAUAUGUUUGUUAAGUAUAUGUCUAUAAAAACCUCUAUAGAUCAGUAAAGCAGUAAUUCUUAAUUUCCUAUGAGCUUAUUUUAGAACCUGUGGAAUAGGAUCACACACACAAAAUAAACAUAUAUAUUUAAUUAUUUACAAGUGUUAACACACUUGAACAGUUUUGGUAGGAAAAAGCAUGAAACUCUAUCAAAACUUAAUUACUAAAUAAAAGCAUCAAACCUUCCAAACAUAACUACUGAUUGAAAUUGACUAGAAACCUUAGUGAUAACCCAGUUGGUUAGCACAUGUUUGGUAUAUAAUUAAAA
Molecule: long non-coding RNA, 716 nt
Organism: Perognathus longimembris pacificus (Pacific pocket mouse)
Lineage: Eukaryota; Metazoa; Chordata; Mammalia; Rodentia; Heteromyidae
Exons: 2
Source: RefSeq, a predicted model, not a curated record